This 73-nucleotide transfer RNA is filed under the name Lachnospiraceae bacterium. RNAcentral's name for it is "tRNA-Lys". It matches the Rfam family "tRNA". Rfam says of the family: Transfer RNA (tRNA) molecules are approximately 80 nucleotides in length. Their secondary structure includes four short double-helical elements and three loops (D, anti-codon, and T loops). Further hydrogen bonds mediate the characteristic L-shaped molecular structure. tRNAs have two regions of fundamental functional importance: the anti-codon, which is responsible for specific mRNA codon recognition, and the 3' end, to which the tRNAs corresponding amino acid is attached (by aminoacyl-tRNA synthetases). tRNAs cope with the degeneracy of the genetic code in two manners: having more than one tRNA (with a specific anti-codon) for a particular amino acid; and 'wobble' base-pairing, i.e. permitting non-standard base-pairing at the 3rd anti-codon position. The record is from RNAcentral. Lineage: Bacteria; Bacillati; Bacillota; Clostridia; Lachnospirales; Lachnospiraceae.
GCUCCAUUAGCUCAGUUGGGAGAGCACUCGACUUUUAAUCGAGGAGUCAUGGGUUCAAGUCCCAUAUGGGGCA